CUCGUAGGCGGUUUGUUACGUCCGCUGUGAAAACCCAGGGCUUAACCCUGGGCUUGCAGUGGAUACGGGCAGACUAGAGGUAGGUAGGGGAGAAUGGAAUUCCCGGUGUAGCGGUGAAAUGCGCAGAUAUCGGGAGGAACACCGGUGGCGAAGGCGGUUCUCUGGGCCUUACCUGACGCUGAGGAGCGAAAGCGUGGGGAGCGAACAGGAUUAGAUACCCUGGUAGUCCACGCCGUAAACGUUGGGCGCUAGGUGUGGGGUCCUUCCACGGAUUCCGUGCCGCAGCUAACGCAUUAAGCGCCCCGCCUGGGGAGUACGGCCGCAAGGCUAAA
This 332-nucleotide ribosomal RNA is filed under the name uncultured Actinoallomurus sp. RNAcentral describes it as "bacterial SSU rRNA". It matches the Rfam family "Bacterial small subunit ribosomal RNA", at positions 568 to 898 of the family's 1533-position model. The record is from RNAcentral. Lineage: Bacteria; Bacillati; Actinomycetota; Actinomycetes; Streptosporangiales; Thermomonosporaceae.